Molecule: long non-coding RNA, 361 nt
Filed under: Elaeis guineensis (African oil palm)
Lineage: Eukaryota; Viridiplantae; Streptophyta; Magnoliopsida; Arecales; Arecaceae
Description: long non-coding RNA (EGUI_LNC016471)
Source: RNAcentral
GGCAAAGCGAUCAUAUUUCAAUAUGAAUAUAUGGCCGGCAUGUAUUAGUUGGAAAUACAUACCUUUGUACUUGAUGGAAGUAGCAGUCUAAGUGCAUAAGAGCUCUCAUUAAGCUUCUCUCAACACUUGCUAUGGUCAUAGGUCAGGCUGGGUGCGUUACAUUGGUGAGGAAGUAGAUGUCGAUCGCAUGUCCUUAUCGCAUAAGAGAAUGAUCGGAUUCUCAGGCCAGGUGGGGCUCACGUUUGGAGUAAGGGAAAAUAUGAACACCUUCGACUUAACAGAUCGCUUGUGCCUCCAUUUUUGGCUAUCCCAAAUACGUGGCAAAAUAAGCCGAAAACAGAUGUCAAAGAGAGUGUUGGGG